RNAcentral lists this ribosomal RNA (501 nucleotides) under uncultured bacterium. RNAcentral's name for it is "bacterial SSU rRNA". It matches the Rfam family "Bacterial small subunit ribosomal RNA", at positions 1029 to 1529 of the family's 1533-position model. The record is from RNAcentral.
UGGAGACAGGUGGUGCAUGGUUGUCGUCAGCUCGUGUCGUGAGAUGUUGGGUUAAGUCCCGCAACGAGCGCAACCCUUAUUCUUAGUAGCCAGCAGGUAAAGCUGGGCACUCUAGGGAGACUGCCAGGGAUAACCUGGAGGAAGGUGGGGAUGACGUCAAAUCAUCAUGCCCCUUAUGAUUUGGGCUACACACGUGCUACAAUGGCGUAAACAAAGGGAGGCGAAGCCGCGAGGUAGAGCGAACCCCAAAAAUAACGUCUCAGUUCGGAUUGCAGGCUGCAACUCGCCUGCAUGAAGCCGGAAUCGCUAGUAAUCGCAGAUCAGCAUGCUGCGGUGAAUACGUUCCCGGGUCUUGUACACACCGCCCGUCACACCAUGGGAGUCGAUAACGCCCGAAGUCAGUGACCCAACCGUAAGGAGGGAGCUGCCGAAGGCGGGAUUGAUAACUGGGGUGAAGUCGUAACAAGGUAGCCGUAUCGGAAGGUGCGGUUGGAUCACCUC